Long non-coding RNA from Dendroctonus ponderosae (mountain pine beetle), 1317 nucleotides. RefSeq lists it as uncharacterized. The record is from RefSeq and is a predicted model, not a curated record. Lineage: Eukaryota; Metazoa; Arthropoda; Insecta; Coleoptera; Curculionidae. The transcript has 4 exons.
UUGGAGCUGUUUGUUUAGCUGCUCCUGCCACAGGUGUUUAGUGUCAUAUUUUUAGGUUAUCUUUUUGCGUUUCUUUGUUGAUUAAUCUGCGAAGAUAACAGACUACUCACUCACGGGGAAGAUGGUAGCUAUUUAUUGUAGUGUGGACGGCUGUUGGAAAAGUUCUGCUUCAAAGCACCAGUUUCCAAAUCCAGUUAAAAAUAAGGAAUUAUGUGACGAAUGGAUUUGUUUGACUGGGAACAAGCGUCUUCUUGAGAUGACCACAGAAAAGAUAUUUUCGAACUGUCGUGUUUGCUCUCUCCAUUUUAAAAGUGAAGAUUUUGGACCAAACAGAAGGUUAAAACGUGGUGUUAAACCAUCUCAAAAUUUGCCAUUGCCCUUACAAAUUAACCAAUUGAGUGAUAAUCCAUCUACUUCAUAAUAACCAAUUGCUUACCAUGCAAAGUUAUGUGGCUCCUCCCAUUAUUGAGCCAUUCUCAUUGUGUAGCAGUGUUACUAGUCCACCUUCUGCUAUGUAAAAAGUAGUCAGAGCCAAGAACGUUUAACCUGGACCCAAUUUAAAACUUAUUUUGCAAAAUUCCACAAAAAGGGCAUCGACAUAUAAAUCUAAGGGCCACCGAUGUUACUGCCUUAAGUUAACUGUUAAAGUUUAUUAUUAAAUUGGUUAACGUCAUCUCAUUCAGUUGGAGCAAAUUGUGCAGAAGAUAACUCCAAAUUUGUUCUAUCACUUCAAACACUGGUUUCCCAGUAACCCACAAAGCUAGAGAUGUAUAGUAGGAGUGUACGGUUAAAGCACUUCAUUUGAAUUGUACGAAGCGAAAUAAACACGGUGAUGAUUAAUCUCCACUAUGUUUACUUUAUUAUGUUGCACAUAAUUGCAAGAAAGAUAGACUUCUACAUAUACUUAUAUUUGUGGGUUUAAUAUGGUUUGCCAGAAGAUGAAAACGAGUUACUAAAGCAGAUCUACACGAUGGUAUUAACCAAUGUUAAACUUUAGGCAAAAUCUGUUGAAGCUGGUGCACUGAAAUAUGUGUCAGGAUAUUUAGCUAAAAAAAUCGACAAACAAGCAUGUGGUUGUCACAAUUUGUUUUUGAUACACCAACUAAGGAGCGCAGGGACUUUAGGAAUUUAAAAUGUCAUUGUACGAAAAUAUUAAGAUAUGUAAGUAAAACCGUUUUUAACAAAGUGUGUUUAGAGUUAUCAAUAAUUAAAUAUAUUUGUCUCUAAUGUGGAAACUUUGCAAAGCAGAAUUUCUUUUACUGACUGUUCCCAUGAUUUAUAAUAAUAAAGACAUACAUUUUUAGUUACUUUAUAAAA